AGGACGAACGCUGGCGGCGUGCUUAACACAUGCAAGUCGAGCGGAAAGGCCCUUCGGGGUACUCGAGCGGCGAACGGGUGAGUAACACGUGAGCAACCUGCCCUUAGCUCUGGGAUAGCUCCGGGAAACCGGAAUUAAUACCGGAUAUUACAUAGGCCGACAUCGGCUGAUGUGGAAAGAUUUAUCGGCUAAGGAUGGACUCGCGGCCUAUCAGCUAGUUGGUGGGGUAGAAGCCUACCAAGGCGACGACGGGUA
RNAcentral lists this ribosomal RNA (255 nucleotides) under uncultured bacterium. RNAcentral's name for it is "partial small subunit ribosomal RNA". It matches the Rfam family "Bacterial small subunit ribosomal RNA", at positions 26 to 285 of the family's 1533-position model. The record is from RNAcentral.